RNAcentral lists this ribosomal RNA (119 nucleotides) under Salmo salar (Atlantic salmon). The record is from RNAcentral. Lineage: Eukaryota; Metazoa; Chordata; Actinopteri; Salmoniformes; Salmonidae.
GCUUACGGCCAUACCAGCCUGGGUACGCCCGAUCUCGUCUGAUCUCGAAAGCUAAGCAGGGUCGGGCCUGGUUAGUAUUUGGAUGGGAGACCGCCUGGGAAUACCAGGUGCUGUAAGCA